CGUAGGGUGCGAGCGUUAAUCGGAAUUACUGGGCGUAAAGCGUGCGCAGGCGGUUUUGUAAGUCAGAUGUGAAAUCCCCGGGCUUAACCUGGGAACUGCGUUUGAAACUACAAGGCUAGAGUGUGGCAGAGGGGGGUGGAAUUCCACGUGUAGCAGUGAAAUGCGUAGAGAUGUGGAGGAACACCGAUGGCGAAGGCAGCCCCCUGGGUUAACACUGACGCUCAGGCACGAAAGCGUGGGGAGCAAACAGGAUUAGAUACCCUGGUAGUCCACGCCCUAAACGAUGUCAACUAGUUGUCGGGUCUUAACGGACUUGGUAACGCAGCUAACGCGUGAAGUUGACCGCCUGGGGAGUACGGUCGCAGGAUUA
RNAcentral lists this ribosomal RNA (370 nucleotides) under uncultured organism. RNAcentral's name for it is "bacterial SSU rRNA". It matches the Rfam family "Bacterial small subunit ribosomal RNA", at positions 526 to 896 of the family's 1533-position model. The record is from RNAcentral.